GGGCUUGUAGCUCAGUGGUAGAGCAGCGGCCUUUUAAGCCGUUAGUCGAGGGUUCGAAUCCCUCCGGGCCCA
This 72-nucleotide transfer RNA is filed under the name bacterium. RNAcentral's name for it is "tRNA-Lys". It matches the Rfam family "tRNA". From Rfam's summary of the family: Transfer RNA (tRNA) molecules are approximately 80 nucleotides in length. The record is from RNAcentral.